GGGGAAUAUUGCACAAUGGGCGAAAGCCUGAUGCAGCAACGCCGCGUGAGUGAUGAAGGCCUUUGGGUCGUAAAGCUCUGUCCUAAGGGAAGAAACAAAUGACGGUACCUUAGGAGGAAGCCCCGGCUAACUACGUGCCAGCAGCCGCGGUAAUACGUAGGGGGCAAGCGUUAUCCGGAAUUAUUGGGCGUAAAGAGUGCGUAGGUGGUUAUUUAAGCGCGGGGUGAAAGGCUACAGCUUAACUGUAGUAAGCCUUGCGAACUGGAUGACUUGAGUGCAGGAGAGGAAAGCGGAAUUCCUAGUGUAGCGGUGAAAUGCGUAGAUAUUAGGAGGAACACCAGUGGCGAAGGCGGCUUUCUGGACUGUAACUGACACUGAGGCACGAAAGCGUGGGGAGCAAAC
Molecule: ribosomal RNA, 402 nt
Filed under: uncultured bacterium
Lineage: Bacteria
Description: bacterial SSU rRNA
Rfam family: Bacterial small subunit ribosomal RNA
Source: RNAcentral